GACGAACGCUGGCGGCGUGCUUAACACAUGCAAGUCGAACGGAAAGGCCCUGCUUUUGUGGGGUGCUCGAGUGGCGAACGGGUGAGUAACACGUGAGUAACCUGCCCUUGACUUUGGGAUAACUUCAGGAAACUGGGGCUAAUACCGGAUAGGAGCUCCUGCUGCAUGGUGGGGGUUGGAAAGUUUCGGCGGUUGGGGAAGGACUCGCGGCUUAUCAGCUUGUUGGUGGGGUAGUGGCUUACCAAGGCUUUGACGGGUAGCCGGCCUGAGAGGGUGACCGGCCACAUUGGGACUGAGAUACGGCCCAGACUCCUACGGGAGGCAGCAGUGGGGAAUAUUGCACAAUGGGCGGAAGCCUGAUGCAGCAACGCCGCGUGCGGGAUGACGGCCUUCGGGUUGUAAACCGCUUUCGCCUGUGACGAAGCGUGAGUGACGGUAAUGGGUAAAGAAGCACCGGCUGACUACGUG
This 468-nucleotide ribosomal RNA is filed under the name uncultured bacterium. RNAcentral's name for it is "partial 16S ribosomal RNA". It matches the Rfam family "Bacterial small subunit ribosomal RNA", at positions 28 to 507 of the family's 1533-position model. The record is from RNAcentral.